CCUACGGGUGGCAGCAGUGAGGAAUAUUGGUCAAUGGGCGUAAGCCUGAACCAGCCAAGUCGCGUGAGGGAUGAAGGUUCUAUGGAUCGUAAACUUCUUUUAUAGGGGACUAAAGGUAUCCACGUGUGGAUAUUUGCAUGUACCCUAUGAAUAAGCAUCGGCUAACUCCGUGCCAGCAGCCGCGGUAAUACGGAGGAUGCGAGCGUUAUCCGGAUUUAUUGGGUUUAAAGGGUGCGUAGGUUGUUUUUUAAGUCAGCGGUGAAAGUUUGUGGCUCAACCAUAAAAUUGCCGUUGAAACUGGAAGACUUGAGUGUGUUUGAGGUAGGCGGAAUGCGUGGUGUAGCGGUGAAAUGCAUAGAUAUCACGCAGAACUCCGAUUGCGAAGGCAGCUUACUAAGCCAUAACUGACACUGAAGCACGAAAGCGUGGGGAUCAAACAGGAUUAGAUACCCCUGUAGUC
This 460-nucleotide ribosomal RNA is filed under the name uncultured bacterium. RNAcentral describes it as "partial 16S ribosomal RNA". It matches the Rfam family "Bacterial small subunit ribosomal RNA", at positions 338 to 795 of the family's 1533-position model. The record is from RNAcentral.